CUGGGAUACCUCCACAAAGGUUAUCAUUUCCGGAAAGUGAAACUAUAGUUGCGUUUUGGAAGAUUCCGUUAGUUGGAACUUCUCCAGAAAGUUCAUUGAAAGAAAGAUUCAAGAUGGUUGCUGAAGAAAGCUCUCCAAGAAAGGCAGGUACAUGGCCUGAAAUGUUAUUGUGAGAUAGAUCAAUAUAUUCUAGACCUCGCACAGUUGCCAAGGACCUGGAAAGCUCUCCACUAAAGAAGUUGCCUUUCAGGUCAAGAUAUACCAAUUUUACGCAAUUACCAAGGCUACUAGGAAUGUCGCUUGACAAGUUAUUGUUGGAAACAUCCAAAACCUCAAGAUUUAUUGAAGAAUAUAAGUUAUCCAGAAAAGUUAUAAAAACAGAGUAGAACAGAGGAGGCGGGAGAUUUAUUUUACAAGUCUGUUAGUUAGCUAAAGUUUGUUAAA
RNAcentral lists this unclassified non-coding RNA (444 nucleotides) under Hevea brasiliensis (rubber tree). Lineage: Eukaryota; Viridiplantae; Streptophyta; Magnoliopsida; Malpighiales; Euphorbiaceae. The record is from RNAcentral.